AAUAGAUACCCGGGUAGUCCACGCCGUAAACGAUGGAUACUAGCUGUUGGGCGCAAGUUCAGUGGCUAAGCGAAAGUGAUAAGUAUCCCACCUGGGGAGUACGUUCGCAAGAAUGAAACUCAAAGAAAUUGACGGGGGCCCGCACAAGCGGUGGAGCAUGUGGUUUAAUUCGAUGAUACGCGAGGAACCUUACCAAGGCUUAAAUGUAGAUUGACCGGUUUGGAAACAGAUCUUUCGCAAGACAAUUUACAAGGUGCUGCAUGGUUGUCGUCAGCUCGUGCCGUGAGGUGUCAGGUUAAGUCCUAUAACGAGCGCAACCCCUGUUGUUAGUUGCCAGCGAGUCAAGUCGGGAACUCUAACAAGACUGCCAGUGCAAACUGUGAGGAAGGUGGGGAUGACGUCAAAUCAUCACGGCCCUUACGCCUUGGGCUACACACGUGCUACAAUGGCCGGUACAGAGAGCAGCCACUGGGUGACCAGGAGCGAAUCUAUAAAACCGGUCACAGUUCGGAUCGGAGUCUGCAACUCGACUCC
Molecule: ribosomal RNA, 534 nt
Filed under: uncultured bacterium
Lineage: Bacteria
Description: bacterial SSU rRNA
Rfam family: Bacterial small subunit ribosomal RNA
Source: RNAcentral